CAGGAUUCCCCCAGUAAUGGCGAAUGAACAGGGAAAAGUUCGGCAUGGAAAUCAGGGCGCCCUGCCCUGAAUUGUGGUCUCGAGAUGUACUGCCAAUGAGGGUGCAGAUGUAGGCCUCUUGGGAAAGAGCGCCAACGAGGGUGAGAGUCCCGCUUGUCGCUUGCAGUCCCCCAUGCACGGCAUAUCUUCUAAGAGUCGUGUUCCUCGAAAUUGGAGUGCAAAACGGGUGGUAAAUUUCAUCUCCAACUAAUUCUCGGCUCGAAACCGAUAGCAAACAAGUACCAUGAGGGAAAGAUGAAAAGGACUUUGAAAAGAGAGUUAAAAUUGCCUGAAAUUGCUGAAAGGGAAGCGAAGGAAACCAAUGCUCCUGGGCGAGAUUGCUGCGCAAUGGGGUGGUGGCUUGCUGCUGCAGCGCAAGUGUUGCAGCAGGCCUUGAUCUGGAAGUGUGUGGUGAUUCUCGUUGUGUGUGUCAGCGUCGGUUCAUCGUUGAGGAAAAUUCCGAGUACAUGGUAUUUUGCUUGUGAACAGUUGAAUGUGCUAGGUAGAACUCAACAUUGAGCCAAUGAUUGCAUGUCUUGUUGCACUGUCUCUUACGCAUGCCUCUCGCAUGACGCCAGCGGCCUGACAUGUGGGCUGGACAUCUGGAGCAUGUCCCUGACUUGAACUCGCUGGCAAAAUGGUUUUCUCCGACCCGUCUUGAAACACGGACCAAGGAGUCUAACACCUGUGCAAAUUCCUUGGUAUUAAGCCAACAAAUACAAUGAAAGUGACUGCUGGGACGCGUGCACCAGCAACCGACCAAUCAACUGCGAGAGGUUUGAGUAUGAGCACAUCUGUUAGGACCCGAAAGAUGGUGAACUAUGCCUGAGCAGGGUGAAGUCAGGGGAAACUCUGAUAAAGGCUCGUAGCGAUACUGACGUGCAAAUCGUUCGUCAUACUUGGGUACAGGGGCGAAAGACUAAUCGAACCAUCUAGUAGCUGGUUCCCUCCGAAGUUUCCCUCAGGAUAGCUGGAGUUGCACAGUUUUACCAGGUAAAGCGAAUGAUUAGAGGAAUCGGGGACGUGUUGUUUUUGACCUAUUCUCAAACUUUAAAUGGGUAAGAUCCAGUGGUUGCUUGGAUGAACUUUGGGGAUAAAUAACAGCUCUAAGUGGGCCAUUUUUGGUAAGCAGAACUGGCGAUGAGGGAUGAACCUAACGUCGGGUCAAGGUGCUGAACUGCUCGCUCAUCAGAUACCAUAAAGGGUGUUGGUUCAUUUUGACAGCAGGACGGUGGUCAUGGAAGUCGAAAUCCGCUAAGGAGUGUGUAACAACUCACCUGCCGAAU
This 1325-nucleotide ribosomal RNA is filed under the name Amphidinium mootonorum. RNAcentral describes it as "eukaryotic LSU rRNA". It matches the Rfam family "Eukaryotic large subunit ribosomal RNA", at positions 70 to 1302 of the family's 3401-position model. Lineage: Eukaryota; Dinophyceae; Amphidiniales; Amphidiniaceae. The record is from RNAcentral.